CGUGUAGGCGGUAUGGCGUGUCAGAUGUGAAAGCCCCCGGCUCAACCAGGGAAGUGCAUUUGAAACUGCCGUGCUGGAGUGCGAGAGAGGAGGGUGGAAUUCCCAGUGUAGAGGUGAAAUUCGUAGAUAUUGGGAGGAACACCGGUGGCGAAGGCGGCCCUCUGGCUCGCAACUGACGCUGAGACGCGAAAGCGUGGGGAGCAAACA
Molecule: ribosomal RNA, 207 nt
Filed under: uncultured bacterium
Lineage: Bacteria
Description: partial 16S ribosomal RNA
Rfam family: Bacterial small subunit ribosomal RNA
Source: RNAcentral